This is a long non-coding RNA of Manis pentadactyla (Chinese pangolin), 3611 nucleotides long. RefSeq lists it as uncharacterized. The transcript is spliced from 2 exons. The record is from RefSeq and is a predicted model, not a curated record. Lineage: Eukaryota; Metazoa; Chordata; Mammalia; Pholidota; Manidae.
UCUACAGGGAGGAAGCAGGCUGAAAAAACAGAUGCAAACACAGGUCAUCUCUUAUGAGCAAGACAGAACUGAGAGCUCAGAGGCACAGCAAAGGGCCACGGAGAGGCAUUCCCAUGAUUAGGACUAAGUCUUCCUCAAAGAACUAGCAGCCUGCAGCAGGCUGCCUUUCAGAAUUGCUAUGGACUAAUGUGUCUCCCAUUUUCCAUUCUGAAUGAGAGUCUUGAGCAGGUCAGCAGAAUGUUGGCUCUGUGGGUGGUGGUAGAUAACUUGGCUCUUCAGUUCUCAAUCUUUGUAUUGAGAGGAAUUGUACUCCAAGGGCUAAACUGUAGAAACCACAGCCCAGGCUCCUGUCCCAUCUGCACCUGAUGAAGAUGUAAGAUCUCAGACUCCAGCCUGAACUGGAUGCCAUCAUCACUGAGGCUUGGCACGCAGAUACAGGGUAGGGAAAGGAAGGUUAUGGGCCAACCUUACUGACUUGCUCCCAGUGAACAGAAUAUGGUGAAGGUGAUGCUGUAUGAAUUCCAAGGCUGGUUGGCCGGGAUAGGCCAGGUGUUCCAGCUGCCCCCCCCAACUAAAGUCCCAGCCAGGGCCUGGCGCCAACAAUCGGACAUGUGAGUGAACUAGCCUCCAAAUGACUCCAGCCUCAGCCUCCGAGCUGUCCCAGCUAAAGCUGAAGGAAGCAGAGACAAGCUGUCCUGGCCACACUUUCCUGACGGAGGUUUGUGAAUAAGAUAAUGUUAUUUAAGCUACUGAAGCUGGGAGUUUAUUAGGGUAAAACAGAUAAACAGAAAAGUGGUGAAAAAAGGGAUAAUAUGAAAACUAACUUAUUUGUGGUGAACUGAUUUUCAUCAAGGGUGCCAAACAGUAGAAAUGAGUCCCCUUUAAAAUGGGUUAUAAUAAAUGUGGAGAUUAAUUUAUUAAUGGUAAACAAUGCUAAUGAGAAGAAGCAGAUGACUAGAAGACGUAAGAAGUUUUUCUAGGGUUCCUUUCAAUUACAAAUUCUUACCCCUAGGCAUAUAUGCCUCUUCAGAACUUUUCCUCAGGUUAGGGGAUAGGGAAGACUGGUAAGCAAGGAGAGACAUAGGAUUUAAAGAAUAACAACUGAAAUACUUUAGUAGCCAAUAAUGAGGCAUUUUAUCCGAUUUCGAUUAACUGAAAUUCUAAUAGACAGUAUGGAGUAUUUAUUAGUCAGUCUAGCACUCAAUCUUCAUUUUACUUUCCUCAGUGAGGAAAUAAAGAGAACAUUCAGGAAUCAUUUUUAAUCUCAGUAGUAAAAUAAAUGCAGUGUCCUUUGGACUAUUUAAGUACACUUUCUCCUUUAUCUUACCUCAAGGCUGUCAGUAUGGGGAGGUAAGACCAUCUCAUCUUUAUGUUGCACCAUAGUACUUCUCCCUAUCAUACAAUUUAGCUUUGAAAUUCUGAUUCAGUCAAUUGUUUAUUCAAUGACUUGGUUGAAUAGUUACCUCACUUUUAAGAGUUGUACUCUUGACGUUUUUUUUUCUUGGGAUAGGAAGAAAUAGGAUUAUGUCAAUUAUGCAUUGAGCUAUAAAGUACAGCUAUCCAUCUCUUUCGAUUUAAGUAAAAGGAGGUGGAUACAGAGAACUGAGGUUUCUGAGAAUAGAGGAUCAGCACCAAGAACAAGUUUGGCCUCAGGAUUACAUACAAGAACCAGGUCAAAAGAAGAUUUAAUUGUGAAUAGAAAGAUGACAGAUUAGCAAGACUUCCAAAGAGAAAGCCAAAAGCCCAGACUUCAUCUCUUCCUUCCUAGAUGGUGAAAUCUAUGGAUCAGUCUAUGCGCUAUAGUGAGUCACUGAAACAUAAUGAACUACACAGACUGAGUCAGCAGAUCCUGUGAGCCAGACAUGCAAAUGGGAGUGAGGUGGAGGAACACUGGUGAGAGACUAAAGGUGUGAAUGGAGAAAAGAAAGGGUAUGGGCUCUACCUUUGUUGUCAGCCUGACUUCCCAUCAUGGCACGGUCAGCAGGGCACAAGCUGGACAAAGGCUCUCUGAAGCUAAAAGUGUCUGCAUGAGCUGAGAGAAGCAAGUGGUACUAUUCAAGAUGACCGUGAAAGAGUCCUCACAAUAUUUGAUUUGGUAUUGGCAUAAGGAUAGACAUGCAGCAAUCGUAUUAGAAUUGGGGAUACAAAAUAAACUCUGGUGAACUGAUUUUCAACAAGGGUGCCAAAAGGUUAAAUGGGUCAAGAAUAAUCUUUUUAACCCAUGGUACUGGGGCCACUGAAUAUCCACAUACAGAAGAAUAAAAUCAGACCUCUACUUCAUAGCAUAUAUACAAAGUUAACUCAACAUGUAAGCGCAAAAAUUAUAAAACUCAUAGGAAAAAACAAAGAUGUGUAUCUUUGUGACUGGAUUUGGCAAUGGUUUCUUGGAGAAAAGCAGAUUAACUGGAUUCAUCAGGACAGUGAAAAGGCAAGCUAUAGAAUAGGAGAAAAUACUUGAAAACCCUUUAUCUGGUAAUGGAUCUGUAUCUAUAAUAUAGAAAUAACUCUUGCAAUACACUUAGAAAAGACAGUCCAAUAUUAAAAUAGGCAAAGGAAUCAAACAGCCAGUUCUUCAAAGAAGAUACCUGAAUGGAUAAUAAGCAUAGGAAAAGAUGCUCAAAAACAUUAUUCAUCAGAAAAAUGCAAAUCAAAACCACAGCGAGAUGCCAUUUCACACCCACUAUAGGAUGGCUACAAUAAAAAACACAGAUGAUGACAGAUGUUGUUAAGAAUGUAGAAAAGCAUCAGAACCCUCAAGCACCACUUGGGAAAGAGUAAAUUAAGAAUCUUACUUAAAUUCCUGCCUUUUACUAUGCUGUUUACAGCUGGGCCUGCAUGCUAAAUUAGUUGCCUGGGUUGCAAGUUAUUUGAUUAGCGCUGAAGGUGAAAAAGACCAGCAGAUAGGUAAAGUUAAAAAAUAAAUUGGGCCCGCAUAAUUAACACAAUAAAGACAUGGGCUAUGCUGAGGUACCCUCCUUUACCUGGGGAAUAUUCAAACAUUCCAGGCCAAGUUGUUCCUGGCUUUUUGAGCGUUAACUGAUUAACUCUGGGUCUUUUUCAGUGGGCUUUUUCCUGGCCUUACUCUUUUUCCACCUCACUCAUAUCUAUUUUUCUGACUAACAGCUGGAUGUAGAUAAUUUUCUUAAUUCUCUCUGUUUGGAUACAUACUAUACAUAAUCUCAAUCUUUCCACAUUUUUACAGAAUAUCUAAAGGGGAAAGGAAAUGAGGGAAGUAUCUCAUUUCAACUGGUUUAUAUAAUGACCUUUUGUACAAUUAACCUGAAAUCCACAAAAUAAAUGUAUUCUACAUCUGCAACAGUGAAGGUAACAAAAAUUACAAUUUUCUGAAACAUUCCAUUAAACAUUAUGAUGUGAUUUUAUUUGGCUUGCCUCAUCAUGGCAAAAGAGAGAUCUGUAAAAAAAACAAUGGUUGGUACUAAAAAACAAAGUCUCAACUGAUGUGAAGAGUGAUGUGUAAUUUUGUUUUCCUAAGGAUAAAUAUUGUAAGAAAAAAUGGGUAAUAUAAAUGGCAGAACUAAAGUCAGAGUUUAAGAAAUAAGUGCAUUGUAAAGACAGAAUUGUAAUAAAUUUGUUGUAAUGAAAAUAUAAAA